CCACAAUGGACGAAAGUCUGAUGGAGCGACGCCGCGUGCGGGAUGAAGGCCUUAUGGGUUGUAAACCGCUGUCAGGGGGGAAGAACAUCGGAAUGAACAAUACUCAUUCCGACUGACGUUACCCCAGAGGAAGCUCCGGCCAACUCCGUGCCAGCAGCCGCGGUAAUACGGGGGGAGCAAGCGUUGUCCGGAAUUAUUGGGCGUAAAGGGCGUGUAGGCGGCGAGGUAAGUCGAAUGUGGAAAAUCUCACGGCUCAACCGUGAAACUGCGUUCGAAAACU
This 280-nucleotide ribosomal RNA is filed under the name uncultured microorganism. RNAcentral describes it as "partial 16S ribosomal RNA". It matches the Rfam family "Bacterial small subunit ribosomal RNA", at positions 366 to 634 of the family's 1533-position model. The record is from RNAcentral.